ACACAUGCAAGUCGAGGGGCAUCAGGAAGAAAGCUUGCUUUCUUUGCUGGCGACCGGCGCACGGGUGAGUAACACGUAUCCAACCUGCCCUUUACUCGGGGAUAGCCUUUCGAAAGAAAGAUUAAUACCCGAUAGCAUAAUGAUUCCGCAUGGUUUCAUUAUUAAAGGAUUCCGGUAAAGGAUGGGGAUGCGUUCCAUUAGGUUGUUGGUGAGGUAACGGCCCACCAAGCCUUCGAUGGAUAGGGGUUCUGAGAGGAAGGUCCCCCACAUUGGAACUGAGACACGGUCCAAACUCCUACGGGAGGCAGCAGUGAGGAAUAUUGGUCAAUGGGCGCUAGCCUGAACCAGCCAAGUAGCGUGAAGGAUGAAGGCUCUAUGGGUCGUAAACUUCUUUUAUAUAAGAAUAAAGUGCAGUAUGUAUACUGUUUUGUAUGUAUUAUAUGAAUAAGGAUCGGCUAACUCCGUGCCAGCAGCCGCGGUAAUACGGAGGAUCCGAGCGUUAUCCGGAUUUAUUGGGAUUAAAGGGAGCGUAGGUGGACUGGUAAGUCAGUUGUGAAAGUUUGCGGCUCAACCGUAAAAUUGCAGUUGAUACUGUCAGUCUUGAGUACAGUAGAGGUGGGCGGAAUUCGUGGUGUAGCGGUGAAAUGCUUAGAUAUCACGAAGAACUCCGAUUGCGAAGGCAGCUCACUGGACUGCAACUGACACUGAUGCUCGAAAGUGUGGGUAUCAAACAGGAUUAGAUACCCUGGUAGUCCACACAGUAAACGAUGAAUACUCGCUGUUUGCGAUAUACAGUAAGCGGCCAAGCGAAAGCAUUAAGUAUUCCACCUGGGGAGUACGCCGGCAACGGUGAAACUCAAAGGAAUUGACGGGGGCCCGCACAAGCGGAGGAACAUGUGGUUUAAUUCGAUGAUACGCGAGGAACCUUACCCGGGCUUAAAUUGCAGUGGAAUGAUGUGGAAACAUGUCAGUGAGCAAUCACCGCUGUGAAGGUGCUGCAUGGUUGUCGUCAGCUCGUGCCGUGAGGUGUCGGCUUAAGUGCCAUAACGAGCGCAACCCUUAUCUUUAGUUACUAACAGGUUAUGCUGAGGACUCUAGAGAGACUGCCGUCGUAAGAUGUGAGGAAGGUGGGGAUGACGUCAAAUCAGCACGGCCCUUACGUCCGGGGCUACACACGUGUUACAAUGGGGGGUACAGAAGGCAGCUAGCGGGUGACCGUAUGCUAAUCCCAAAAUCCUCUCUCAGUUCGGAUCGAAGUCUGCAACCCGACUUCGUGAAGCUGGAUUCGCUAGUAAUCGCGCAUCAGCCACGGCGCGGUGAAUACGUUCCCGGGCCUUGUACACACCGCCCGUCAAGCCAUGGGAGCCGGGGGUACCUGAAGUACGUAACCGCAAGGAUCGUCCUAGGGUAAAACUGGUGACUGGGGCUAAGUC
This 1433-nucleotide ribosomal RNA is filed under the name uncultured organism. Its description in RNAcentral is "16S ribosomal RNA". It matches the Rfam family "Bacterial small subunit ribosomal RNA". The record is from RNAcentral.